GUCUGCUACCUCUUACCCAUGUCUUUUGAGUACCUUCGUUUCCUCGGCGGGUCCGCCCGCCGAUUGGACAACAUUCAAACCCUUUGCAGUUGCAAUCAGCGUCUGAAAAAACAUAAUAGUUACAACUUUCAACAACGGAUCUCUUGGUUCUGGCAUCGAUGAAGAACGCAGCGAAAUGCGAUAAGUAGUGUGAAUUGCAGAAUUCAGUGAAUCAUCGAAUCUUUGAACGCACAUUGCGCCCCUUGGUAUUCCAUGGGGCAUGCCUGUUCGAGCGUCAUUUGUACCUUCAAGCUCUGCUUGGUGUUGGGUGUUUGUCUCGCCUCUGCGUGUAGACUCGCCUUAAAACAAUUGGCAGCCGGCGUAUUGAUUUCGGAGCGCAGUACAUCUCGCGCUUUGCACUCAUAACGACGACGUCCAAAAGUACAUUUUUACACUCUUGACCUCGGAUCAGGUAGGGAUACCCGCUGAACUUAAGCAUAU
Molecule: ribosomal RNA, 480 nt
Filed under: uncultured fungus
Lineage: Eukaryota; Fungi
Description: eukaryotic LSU rRNA
Rfam family: 5.8S ribosomal RNA (bases 124-277)
Source: RNAcentral